GCUGGGUGUGGUGGCGCACACCUGUAAUCCCAGCAGCCCAGGAGGCUGAGGCAGGAGAAUUGUGAGUUCAAAGUCAGCCUCAG
Molecule: small RNA, 83 nt
Filed under: Marmota monax (woodchuck)
Lineage: Eukaryota; Metazoa; Chordata; Mammalia; Rodentia; Sciuridae
Source: RNAcentral